AAGGGUCUCUGUGCAGAAACAGGAAUGGAUUUCCCUGAGGCAGAGAGGACUCCAUUGGACCCCAGGCAGAGGCCGCUGGGGGAUGGAAUCAUGUCGGCAAGACCUACUAAAUCAUAUCCCCUUUCUGGUGGAGGAGAAGCUGUUGCUAUCGCCCCAGAUCAGGAUCCAGUGUCUUUGGAGGAUGUGGCUGUGCAGUUCACGGAAGAGGAGUGGGCUUUGCUGAAUCCUGACCAGAGAGCUCUGCAUAGCGAAGUCAUGGAGGGGAUUUGUGGGACUCUGUCCUGUCUUGAAGAUGAUGAGUGGAAAGCCAAGAGGAAGGAAGAACUGUGUGGGCAAGAGAGAUGGAAAAGAGAUAGAUCUAAAAACAGGGAAGAGCAGAGAAGGAAUCCUGAAGCAGAAGAGAAAAGGAGGAAUAAAUCUUACGCUUCUCAGGGCAGUGGCUACCAUAAAACUGCCAUCCGAGAAAAAACAGAUCAAAGAAUGAGAAGAAAUAAAUAUUUUCAUUGUUCGAAAAGUCUGAAUUCUAAAAGUAAGUGUAAGAAAGCCCACUACAAAAACCAGAAAACGGAGAAAGCAUAUCAAUGUUUGGAACGUGAAAGGAGGUUUAGCUGCAAGGCAAGUCUUAUUUUGCAUCAAAGAAUGCAAACCGGUGAGAAACCAUAUAAGUGCUUAGAAUGUGGAAAGAGCUUCAGUUGGAAAAACAAACUCGCUGCCCACCAAAGAAUUCACACUGGAGAGGAACCAUAUAAGUGUUUGGAAUGUGGAAAGAGCUUCAGGUGGAAACAACAACUCGCUGCCCACCAAAGUAAUAACACUGGGGAGAAACCAUAUAAAUGUUUGGAAUGUGGGAAGAGCUUCCGCUGGAAACACUUACUCACUGCCCACCAAAAUGUUCACACCGGGCAGAAAUCAUAUAAGUGCCUAGAAUGUGGAAAGAGCUUCUGUCAGAAAAGCAAUCUGACUUCCCAUCAAAGAAUUCACACUGGAGAGAAACCAUAUAAGUGCUUGGAAUGUGGAAAGAGCUUUCGUCGGAAGACACAUCUGACUUGCCAUCAAAGAAUUCACAUGGGGGAGAAACCUUUUAAGUGCUUGGAAUGUGGAAAGAGCUUCCACUGGAAAAACUUACUCACUGCCCAUCAAAGAAUUCACACCGGAGAGAAACCAUAUAAGUGCUUAGAAUGUGGAAAGAGCUUCAGUUGGAAACAAGCACUCACUUUCCAUCAAAGAAUUCACACUGUGGAGAAGCCAUAUAGAUGCCUGGAAUGUGGAAAGUGCUUUACUACAAGUUCCUCUCUCACUGCCCAUGAAAGUAUUCACACUGGGGAGAAGCCAUAUAAGUGCUUAGAAUGUGGGAAGAGCUUCACUAGAUAUUCCUCUCUCACUUUCCAUCAAAGAAUUCACACUGGGGAGAAGCCAUAUAAGUGCUUAGAAUGUGGAAAAAGCUUCCACCAGAAGAUAAAUCUGACUUCCCAUCAAAGAACUCACACUGGGGAGAAACCAUAUAAGUGCUUAGAAUGUGGAAAGAGCUUCCGUCAGAAGAUACAUCUGACUUUCCAUCAAAGUAUUCACACUGGGGAGAAACCGUAUAAAUGCUUGGAAUGUGGAAAGAGCUUCAGUUGCAAAGAGCAACUCACUCUCCAUCAAAGAAUUCACACUGGGGAGAAACCGUAUACGUGCUUAGAAUGUGGAAAGAGCUUCAGUAGGAAACAGAAACUCACUGACCAUCAAAGAAUUCACACUGGGGAGAAGCCACAUAAGUGCUUAGAAUGUGGAAAGAGCUUCUACCAGAAGAUAAAUCUGACUUCCCAUCAAAGAACUCACACUGGGGAGAAACCAUAUAAGUGCUUAGAAUGUGGAAAGAGCUUUACUAGAAAUUCCUCUCUCACUUUGCAUCAAAGUGUUCACACUGGGGAGAAACCAUAUAAGUGCUUAGAAUGUGGAAAGAGCUUCAGUAGGAAACAGCAACUCACUGCCCAUCAAAGUGUUCACACUGGGGAGAAGCCAUAUGAAUGCCUGGAAUGUGGAAAGGGCUUUACUAGAAAUUCCUCUCUCACUUUGCAUCAAAGAAUUCACAGAGGAGAGAAACCAUAGAACUGCUUGGAACAUGGAAAGAGCUUCAGAAGUAGCUUAAGUCUUUAAUGUCAUGAAAGAUUUCAGAAAUGGGGAAACCAUAUUAUGAGUGAUGAACAGGGGGUUGCCCACCUGUUGCCUGUGAGUGUUUUGGAGGCCUGCAAAGCCCUUCAGUGGCACCCCAGCAAAUCGCCAAGAGUCUUUAUAAUACAUGCUAUUUAUUCAUCUCUUGCACACUACAACUAAUAAAAUGUAGUCAGUGACCUUAUUAUAGAAACAGAAAAAUAGGGAUACAUAUCAGCAUGAAAGAAGUUGCUGGAAAUCCAAUUAACAUCAAUGUAUAAGACUGUGAAGGCACAUCUUAGUUAAAACAGGUUACAAUAGUUGAAGGCCCUUUUUGUGUGGGGGGGUGUAUGGUGUGAGUGUGUGUUGUGGGGGUUGCAUCAUGUGCCUGGGAGAGAGGAGUCAAAGUCGACUGGGAAGAUUUGAGGUGGCCCCAAUUAGUGUAGUGACGGGUAGAGGGAGAUAUGAUGCUGUGUGGAGGACUUGCCAGGUGAGGGGAACUCACCCCAGGCAGUUAACGGCUUUGCUGGGUUCCGGUCCUCCACACACCCACAGGUUUGUUGGUUGCCCUAUCAGCCAGCUCUCCGAUCUCCGGAUGCUGCUCCUAAAUGCCAGAUCGGUACAUAAUCAGAUCUCUCUCAUCCACGAUUUAAUUGUGGAGGAGGCAGCUGAUCUGGCAUGUAUAACUGAGACCUGGGUGGGUGAGCAGGGAGGAGCUAGUCUCUCCCAGCUGUGCCCACCGGGGUACUUGGUUCAGCAUCAGGGUAGAUCUGAGGGCCGGGGAGGGGGGUUGCUGUGGUCUAUAGGAGUUCCAUCUCUCUCUCCAAGCACCAUGUCCAUGCAACUAAUGGUCUGGAGUGUUUGCACCUUGUGUUGGAUCAGGGGGACAGAUUGGGGAUUCUGUUGGUGUACCGCCCACCCCGCUGCCCAACAGACUCCCUAACUGAGCUGACGGAGGUGGUCUCGGCUGUAUUGUUGAGAUCACCCAGACUGUUUGUGCUGGGGGAUGUCAACAUCCACGCCGAGGCCGCCUUAUCUGGGGCGGCUCAGGACUUCAUGGCUUCCAUGACAACCAUGAGGCUGUCCCAAUAUGCUACUGGCCCAACACACGUGGCAGGGCAUACUCUAGACCUGAUUUUUGCAACUGGACAUGGAGAUGGUGAUCUGAAUGUAGGGAGUCUUACAUCAGCCCCUUUGUCAUGGACUGAUCACCGCUUGUUGAGGUUUAGACUUACCGCAGCUUUUCCCCUCUGCAAGGGUGGAGGACACAUUAAGAUGGUCCGCCCCCGGAGACUAAUGAAUCCGGAUGGUUUUCAAAAGGCUCUGGGGAGUUUUCCGGCUGAUAGGGCUGGCGCUCCUGUUGAAACCCUGGUCGAACUAUGGAAUGCUGAAAUGACCUGGGCAGUUGACAUGAUCGCUCCUGUGCGCCCUCUCCUAUGUAGAGCUCCUUCAGCUCCAUGGUAUACUUCAGAGCUGAGAGCAAUUAAACAGGAGACGGCUUGAGUGCAGAUGGAGACGAACUCCUGAGGGAUGCAAUUAUGCACUGGUAAGUGCCUAUACCAAGCUGUAUUUAGGGGCAGUACGGGCAGCACAAAAACAAUAUUUUGUUGCCACUAUUAAAUCUUCUAACUGCCGUCCGGCGGAGCUUUUUAAAGUUGUCAGAGGGCUAGUACAUUCUGGCCCUAGGGACACGGUAGAACUAUGCGAAGCACGCUGUAAUGAAUUUGCUAGGCACUUCCAGGAUAAAAUCUCUUGCAUCCGUCAAGACUUGGACUCCAGUGUUAUAGCAGUUGAAUCAAAUGAGGUAUCCGGAGCACAGCCUGGUCAUGAUUUUUUGGAUGAGUUUCAAUUGGUGCAGCUUGAGGAUAUUGACAAGGUGCUUGGACAGGUGCGUGCAACCUCUUCUGUUCUGGAUCCGUGCCCCUCUUGGCUAAUGAAAGCUAGCAGGGAUGGAACAGCCGGCUGGGCCAGGGAAGUGAUUAAUGCCUCACUGUGUGAGGGAGAGGUCCCUGGCUGCCUAAAGGCGGCGGUAGUGAGACCACUUUUGAAGAAAUCUUCCCUGGACCCAGAAAAUCUUAAUAAUUACAGGCCGGUAGCAAAUGUCCCAUUCCUGGGCAAGGUCCUAGAAAGAGUGGUUGCAGACCAGCUCCAGACAUUCUUGGAUGAGACCGAUUAUCUGGAUCCAUUUCAAUCGGGUUUCAGGCCCGGUUUUAUAAUAAUAAUAAUAAUAAAUUUAAUUUCUUUGUCGCCUAUCUGGCCGAUGGCCACUCUAGGCGACGAACAAGAUUGUUAAGAUACAAUUGAAAAAUAUAGCGAUACAAUAUAAAAUCAAUACAUCUGCAACAACAACAUUAAAACUGGGCAGGAGGCAUUACAGUUACAACAAUUAACCCUCCCCGGAUACCCCGAAGGCCUGUUGAAAGAGCCAGGUCUUUAAGGCUUUCCGAAAUACAUUUAGGGAAGAGGAGUGCCGGAGAUCUUGUGGGAGGGAGUUCCAAAGAGUGGGGGCCGCCACUGAGAAUGCCCUCUCUCUUGUACCCACCAAUCUGGCUGUUUUUGUUGGCGGGAUUGAGAGAAGGCCCUGUGUGGUUUUGGCACGGGGACGGCCUUGGUUGCCCUGUAUGAUGACCUUUGUUGGGAGAAAGACAGGGGGAGUGUAACUCUGUUGAUUCUCCUUGAUCUCUCAGCGGCUUUUGAUACCAUCGACCAUGGUAUUCUUCAGGGGAGACUUGCGGAUUUGGGAGUUGGAGGUACUGCUUGGCAGUGGUUCUGCUCCUACUUGGCGGGUUGUCUCCAGAAGGUAGUGCUUGGGGAGCAUUGCUCGGCACCCUGGGCUCUCCAAUAUGGAGUUCCGCAGGGGUCAGUUCUGUCCCCCAUGCUCUUUAACAUCUACAUGAAGCCGCUGGGUGCUGUCAUCAGGAGUUUUGGAGUGCAUUGUCACCAGUAUGCUGAUGACACGCAGCUCUACUUCUCCUUUUCAUCCUCAUCAGGUGAGGCUGUCAAGGUGCUGAACCGAUGCCUGGCUGCGAUAAUGGACUGGAUGAGAGCGAAUAAAUUGAAGCUCAAUCCAGACAAGACUGAGAUGCUGUUAGUAGGCGGUUCCUCUGACCAGAUGGUGGAUGUGCAACCUGUCCUGGAUGGGGUUGCACUCCCUCUGAAGGAGCAGGUUCGUAGUUUGGGAGUUCUUUUAGAACCAUCCCUGUCACUGGAGGCUCAGGUAGCCUCGGUGGCACGGAGUGCUUUCUACCAGCUUCAGCUGGUGGCCCAACUACGCCACUAUUUGGACAGGGGAAACCUUGCUUCAGUUGUCCAUGCCCUGGUAACCUUUAAAUUAGACUACUGCAAUGCACUCUACGUGGGGCUGCCCUUGAAGACUGUUUGGAAACUGCAGCUCAUGCAAAAUGCGGCGGCCAGAUUGAUAACCGGGACCAGGCGGUCCGAACAUAUAACACUGAUUCUGGCCCGCUUGCACUGGUUGCCUAUAUGUUUCCGGGCCCGAUUCAAAGUGCUGGUUUUAACCCAUAAAGCCUUGUACGGCAUGGGGCCACAAUACCUGAUGGAACGCCUCUCCCGAUAUGAACCUACCCGUACACUGCGCUCAACAUUGAAGGCCCUCCUCCGGGUGCCUACUCAGAGAGAAGCCCGGAAGGUGACAACAAGAAAAAGAGCCUUCUCAGUGGUGGCCCCUGAACUAUGGAAUAUUCUUCCUGAUGAGGUACGCCUGGCACCAACAUUAUUAUCUUUUCGGCACCAGGUAAAAACCUUCCUCUUCUCCCAGGCAUUUUCAGCAUUUUAGUAGUAUUUAAUAUGCAUUUUAGUAUCUGUUUAAUUAUGUUUUAAUUUUUGAUAUCUUUAACUUAUUUUAGAUUGCUUAAUAUGUGGUUUUAAUUGUAUGUUAGAUGUUUUUACCUGUUGUGAGCCGCCCAGAGAGCUUCGGCUAUGGGGCGGUAUAAAAAUUUAAUUAAUAAUAAUAUUAAUAAUAAUAAGGACCGAGUUAACUUCUUAAGUCAUGUCACAAAGCCAGAGUUACAGAGUACAUGGAAAUACAUGUCACGAUACAUCACCCAUCAGAUGCCAUGGAUGGAAUAGAUGUGAGGGUUCCCUCCUGCUUUCUUUGACCCCACCCCCACUUCAACAGAGCCAAGGGGGUCCUGCAUGCUAUAGAACUGGCCUUUUAUACACCCUAUUUACAAAGGGAUGGCUUGUUCCCAUGGCUUUAUCAAUUUUGCUACCCACUAGAGGAGAAAUUUUGGAAAUUUGCAUUUGCUGCCUCCCGGAAGCACUCCAUAUCUUCUUCUCACUUACUGGUGACACUUAAUGUAACAUAUUGGCUGUCUGCUCAGAGAUUGUAUCUUGUACUGUACUCUGCUUUAUAAGGAAACAAUGCUUAGUCUAGAAGGGAGGGUUUAAGAAACCGAUUUUCAAAAGAGAACUUUCUUCCUCUGUGUAAACUACAAGCGAAGCCAUUAAAAGCUUAUGUAAAUAAUUUCAGCACAUUAUAUGCACAUUUUAAGCCAUUAUUCGGGCUAUCCCUUUAUUUAUUAUUUGAUGUAUAUCCCAUCCUUCCUCCCAGCAGGAGCCCAGGGCAGCAAACAAGGCACUAGAAACAUUUUAAAACAUCAUAAAAACAAAACUUGAAAUACAUUAACGCAAAACAGCAUCAAAAACAUUAAAAAAAAAAUUUUUUUUAAAAAAAGAUUAAAAACAUUAUUAAAAAACAAGCCAUUCUGACAGAGAGAAAGACUGGGAUAGCUCUCAACUUAAAACGCUUGUUGAAAAAGAAAAGUCUUCAAAAGGCACCGAAAAGAUAGGAGAGAUGGCACCUGACUAAUAUUCAAAGGGAGGGAAUUCCACAGGGUAGGUGCUGCCACACUAAGGUCCAUUUCCUAUAUUGCACAGAAUGAACCUCCUGAUAAGAUGGUAUCUGCAGGAGGCCCUCACCUGCAGAGCGCAGUGAUCAGGAUGAUGGUCUUUCAGGUAUCCUGGUCCCGAGCAGUAUUGGGCUUUGUACACCAAAACUAGAACUUUGAACUUGGUCCGAUAGCAAAUGGGCAGCCAGUGCAACUCUUUCAGUAGCAGGGUGCCAUGCUUGCGUUACCCUGCUCCAGUGAGCAGUCUCACCGCCACAUUUUGCACCAGCUGCAACUUCUGGAUCAACUUCAAGGGCAGCCCCACAUAGAGCGCAUUACAGUAAUUCAGCCUAGAGGUUACCAGUGCGUGGACAACAGUGAUCAGGCUAUCCUGGUCCAGAAACGGCUGCAGCUGUCUCACCAGCCGAAGCUGGUAAAAGGCACUUCUAGCCACUGAGGUCACCUGGGCCUCUAGCGACAAAGAUGGAUCCAAGAGUACCCCCAGGCUACGGACCUGCUCUUUCAGAGGAAGUACGACCCCAUCCAAAGCAGGCAACUGACCAAUUAUCCGAACUCUGGAACCACCAACCCACAGUGCCUCCGUCUUGCUAGGAUUCAGACUCAGUUUAUUGGCCCUCAUCUAGCCCACCACCGAGUCCAGGCAGUGGUCAAAGGCUUGCACAGCCUCUCCUGAUUCAGAUGUUAUGGAGAAAUAGAACUGGGUAUCAUCAGCAUACUGCUGACACCUCCCUCCAAAGCUCCUGAUGACUGCUGCCGGCUUCAUAUAGAUGUUAAACAGCAUGGGGUAGAAGAUGGUACCCUGUGGCACCCCACAGCACAGCUGCCAGGGGGCCGAAAGACAAUCACUCAAUGCUACUCUCUGAGAGAGACCCUGGAGAUAGGAUCGGAACCACUGUAAAACAGUUCCUCCAAUACCCAUCUCACCAAGUCGGCCCAGAAGGAUACCAUGGUCAAUGGUAUCAAAAGCCGCUGAGAGAUCAAGUAAGAAUAACAGAGUCGCACUCCCCCUGUCCUUCUCCCGAUAAAGGUCAUCCAUCAGGGCAACCAAGGCCAAUUCAGUCCCAUAACCAGGCCUAAACCCAGACUGGGAUGGGUCAAGAUAAUCUUUCAUCCAAGAGUACUUGCAGUUGCUGCGCCACAACCCUCUCAAUCACCUUCCCUAAGAAGGGGGUAUUUGCAACCGGUAAGUAGUUGUCCCAAGCCAAUGGGUCCAGGGUGGGCUUUUUCAGGAGUGGUCGGAUCACCGCCUCUUUCAGGCGGCUGGAAUCACUCCCUCCCACAAUGAUGCAUUGACCGCACCCUGGAUCCACUUGGUCAGACCCCCCCCCCGGCAAGCUUUAAUAAGCCAAGAAGGGCAAGGGUCAAGAAGACACAUUGCUGGCUACAUCAUCGCAAGCACCUUGUCCACAUCAUCAGGCCGCAUCAACUGAAACUGUUCCCAAGAAAUAGGAGCAGAUGUUGCACUGGGCACCUCAUUGGGGACUACAGUAUAUGUAGAUGGGGCAUCAAGACUGCUACGGAGGCGAGCAAGUUUACCCUCAAAGUGCCUUGCAAACAUUUCACAGUGGUCCUCCGAAGGCUCUAAGACUCCAUUUCCUGGAGUUGAUGUCAAAAGACCCCUGACAAUACGGAAAAGCUCCACUGGACGGAUACUUGAGGAUGUGAUGGAGGAAGAGAAGUGGGCCUUCUUCGCCGCCCUCACCGCCACACAAUAGGCACAGUUAUGAUGUAUUACUCGUGCCUGAUCUGUCUCACAGGACGUCUUUUGCCACUUGCACUCUAGCCGACAUCCAGCCUGUUUCAUUGCCCUUAGCUCACUGGUGUACCAAGGUGCAAGCUGGGCUCCACAGUGCCGGAGAGGGCGCUCGGGGGCAACCGUGUCGAGCCAGAUGCGCCUCGCUGUUCCACAGCAUGACAAGGGCUUCAACAGGGUCACCUGCUCUAUCUCCUGGGAACUCCCCCAGGGCAUUCAGGAAUCCAGUGGAUUCCAUUAGUUUCCGGAGACGGACCAUCUUCAUCUGUCCACCCCAGGGAAGACUCGGAGCCAUAAGUCUAAACUUCACCAGGAAGUGGUCUGACCAUGACAUCCACCCCCCCAUCUCCAGACCACCCCUUCCUCCAUCUGAAGCAAAGACCAAGUCGAGGGUGUGCCCUGCUCUAUGCGUUUGGCCAAUAACAACUUGAGACAGCCCCAUGUUUGUCAUGGAGGCCAUGAAGUCCCGAGCCGGAACACUAGAGGCAGCCUCUGCAUGGACAUUGAAAUCACCCAGCACUAUCAUUCUGGGCUGCUCCAACGCCACCGCUGAGACGACCUCCACCAGCUCAGUCAGAGAAGCUGCCGGGCAGCAAGGUGGACGUUACACCAGCAGCAACCCUAGUUUACGGUCUCCUCGGCCCAACACCAGGUGCAGGCCCUCACAGCCAGCUCCAAGACAGAGUGGUUUCCUGGUGACAGAGAUGGAAGUUCUGUAGACCACAGCAACUCCUCCCCCCCCAUCCCUGCAGCCUGUGCUGGUGCUGCGGAAAAGGGUCUCUGUGGAGAAACAGGAAUGGAUUUCCCUGAGGCAGAGAGGACUCCAUUGGACCCCAGGCAGAGGCCGCUGGGUAAAGAUGAAUGGGGCGUGUUUCCGUUUGGUCUGUCUCUGUUGAUUUUGCCUGCGAGAACCAGUGUGAUGUAGUGGUUAAGGUUUUGGACUACGACCUGGGAGACCAGGGUUCAAAUCCCCACACAGCCAUGAAGCUCACUGGGUGACCUUGGGCCAGUCGCUGCCUCUCAGCCCCAGAGGAAGGCAAUCGUAACCCCGUCUGAAUACAGCUUACCAUAAAAACCCUAUUCAUAGGGUCACCAUAAGUCAGAAUUGACUUGAAGGCAGUACAGUGGUUAAGGUGUUGGACUACGACCUGGGAGAGCAGGGUUCAGUCACUGCUCCUAAGUCCCAGAGGAAGUCAAUGGUAAACCCUUCCUGAAUACCGCUUACUAUGAAAACCCUAAACACCAUAAGUCAGGAUCAACUUGAAUUUCCAUUUUCCACUCUUGUCUCCAGCCUUUUCCACAGCUCAGAAAUGCUCCUACUUACAUCAUAAUUUUUUACGUGGGAACCAUCACUUUGAUUUCUGGCUUAGAGCUCAAAUGAGGAGGGAUGUUUUAUCACACAACUGAAAGAUAAAUUGUGCAUAAAUACCUGAAACUCACUCAGCUGAGAAGAAUCCUUGUGCAGUUAUACCUCUAUGGUUAAAUCUCUGACAAUAGCAUACGGUAUACUAAUGGCUUUUGGGCCCAUUUUCUUUCUCACAGGGGAUGGAAUCAUUGUUAGCUCAUUAUGCUUAGUCAUUCCCCAUGUUGGGAAUGGGUUAACCACAGCACAGUAAUUUUGUGAAGGUCACACAGCAGUACCAGAUCAAAGGGGCUGGCUAUAAAAUACAAGCCCAGGGACCCAGGCUGUGUGGGGGAAGAUAGGAGUAAUGCUUAUGUUGGUGAUUGUAUUCUGUCUGCACGUUGAUAAAGUUUGUUUUGCUUGCACUAAGCUUAACAGUGUCAGUGUGGUCUAUUUCUAAUUGCCGAUUCAGGAACGCUGUUACUCACGCACCUCUGUGUCCUGUGCAACAAGUUAAGUCUGCCUUGUUGGUUCGGGGCACAAGAGAGCUCAACAAAGGGUUAUGGGCCCAGCCAUAACAGUGUUACUGUGAAACUGUGCUAAAGAACAGGAGAUCCAGAAAGUGCAUUACAGCAGAUGAAAGGAGUAAGAAAAGAAUGGCAGCAUUUGGAGGCGCAUCUUUUCCCUUGGAGAGGCUGGGGAGCACCAACUACUCCUACUGGAAGGUAAAGACAGAAAUGCUACUGGUGAAGGAGGGCGUGUGGCACACAGUUGCGGAAGACCCCCCUGCAGCCCCACCGGCAGAGUGGAUAAGGGCGGCAGAGAAAGCUAAAGCUCUGAUUAUCCUAGCUCUGGAAAAUGAACAGUUAAUACAUGUAAGAGGCUUAAACACUGCGAAGGAAGUGUGGAAUGCAUUAAAAACUGUACAUGUGAGAAAAACUGCGGGCUCUAAGGUCCUACUUGCUAAAACACUUUACCAAACACGUUACAAAGAAGGCGAGUCCAUGCAGAGGCAUUUACAGAACUUACAACGUUUGUUUGCCGAAUUGAAAGAAAUGAACAUGCAACAUACACAGGAACAGAUGGCAUACAUUACGCUGUCAACUUUAAAUGAUUCCUGGGAUGGAAUAAUAAGCGCGUUAGAAAGUUUGCCAGACGCGGAGCUCAGUGUUAAUUACAUCACAAACAAACUACUGCAAGAAGCAGAACGCCGACAAGAGAAAAGCAAACAGAGCAACAAAGAAAACCCGGAGCGGAAUGAGCAAGGAUCCAUGGCAUAUGGAGUGAGAUGCUGCUACACUUGUGGUUCCACAAAUCAUCUACGCAGACAUUGCCAGGCUGAGAAGCAAAGAAGAACACAACAAUGCGAGAAAGACCCAUUUAAAGUGCAUGUCGUAGGAACAAAAGACAAAGACAAUGAACUGAACAGAGCAUCCUGGACUAUUGACUCAGGAGCUAGUCAUUUUUUGGCAAAUAAUGAAAAACAGUUUAAAACCCUGACCCCAACAACGAACCAGAACGUUUACUUGGCGGAUGGAAGCUGUCGCGAAGUAAAAGGGGAUCCAGUGUCUUUGGAGGAUGUGGCUGUGCAGUUCACAGAAGAGGAGUGGGCUUUGCUGAAUCCUGACCAGAGAGCUCUGCAUAGCGAAGUCAUGGAUCAAUGCUUCCCUCCAGCAAGGCCACCUUCCAGGCAGCCUAAAGGAAGCAAUUGUUAUUCCCUUAUUAAAAAAGCCUUCUUUGAACCCUUCCAGUUUAGUUUCCAUCCCGUGUCCAACUUACCUUUUUAAAGUAAAAUUAUUGAGAAAGUGGUGGCCUCUCAGCUCCAGAGUUUCCUGGAGCUGACAGAUUACUACGACUCAUCUCAAUCUGGUUUUAGGCCGGGUCAUGGAACUGAGACCGUAUUGGUGGCCUUAGUGGAUGACCUCCGGAGAGAGUUAGACAAGGGGAAAGUUUCUUUGUUAGUCCUUCUUGAUCUUUCAGCAGCGUUUGACACGAUCGACCAUGACAUUCUCUUGGGCCGCCUCUCCGAGAUGGGCUUACGAGGCACUGUUUUUCAGUGGCUCCGCUCUUUCUUGGAGGGCAGAUCACAGAGAGUACUAUUUGGGGAUUUUAGCUCUGAUCCCUGGCCGUUGUCAUGCGGAGUACCACAAGGCUCGGUGUUUUCACCGAUGCUGUUUAACAUUUACAUGAAACCGCUGGAAGAGAUCAUCCGGAGGUUUGGAAUUCGGUUUCACCAAUAUGCUGAUGACACCCAGCUUUAUUUUUCCUUCCCUCCGGAUAUGAAAGAUGCCAUCCUUCCUUUAAAUAAUUGUCUAACAGCAGUUAAGACCUGGAUGACACAGAAUAAGCUGAAAUUGAACCCAGAUAAAACAGAGGUGCUGGUGGUUGGGCACCGAACCAAGUUGGAAAUAGGGAAUGUACCGUUAUUAGAUGGAGUUUUACUCCCUUUAAAGACCCAGGUUCGUAGUUUGGGUGUCCUUCUGGAUUCGGCCUUGACUUUGGAGGCCCAUGUCUUAGCAACUUCCAGAAGUGCCUUUGCCCGCCUAAAAUUGGUUCGCCAAUUGCGCCCUUUUCUGGAACUCUCUGACCUAACCACGGUUACCCAUGCCUUGGUUACGUCUAAGUUGGACUACUGUAACUCGCUUUAUACUGGACUUCCCCUUAAAAUACUUCGUCAACUGAAAUUAGUCCAAAGAGCGGCUGCCAGGAUGUUAAUAGGAGCAGGUUGGCGAGUUCACACUACUCCGCUCCUAAAACAACUACACUGGCUUCCAAUUUCUUAUCGAGUUCAGUUUAAAAUCCUGGUUUUAACGUUUAGAGCUUUAUCUGGUUCAGGCCCUAGUUAUUUUUCAAAUCGUAUUUCGUUUUAUGAGCCUACUCGUUCUUAAGAUCUUCAUUAGACCCCGGCCUUAAUAUUCCUUCUUUUUCCCAAAUUCAUCGGACUGGUAUUAGGAAUAGAUCAUUUUCGGUGGUAGCACCAACUCUUUGGAAUUCUCUUCCGCAGGAAAUUCGUUCUUCCCCCUCUUUAAUUAGUUUUCGUCGCCAAGUUAAGACCUUUUUAUUUCGGUUAGCUUUUGAAUUGUAAUGUGAGAGAUAAUUUAUAUUUUUUUAUAUAUUGUAUAUUGUAUAAUGUGUUUGCACUAUGUUAUUGUUUUGGCCGCUUAGAAUUCUUUGGAACUGAAGCGGGAUAUAAACUUUUUAAAUAAAUAAAAUAAAUAAAUAAAUGGAGGGGAUUUGUGGGACUCUGUCCUGUCUUGGUAAGGCAGGUUCCAUUGUAAUUUGUUAUGUGCCUUCAAGUCGAUUACGACUUAUGGCAACCCUAUGAAUCAACAACCUCCAGUAGCAUCUGUUAUAAA
Molecule: RNA transcript, 13455 nt
Organism: Rhineura floridana
Lineage: Eukaryota; Metazoa; Chordata; Lepidosauria; Squamata; Rhineuridae
Gene name: zinc finger protein 665-like
Exons: 6
Source: RefSeq, a predicted model, not a curated record